RNAcentral lists this ribosomal RNA (247 nucleotides) under uncultured bacterium. RNAcentral's name for it is "partial 16S ribosomal RNA". It matches the Rfam family "Bacterial small subunit ribosomal RNA", at positions 523 to 769 of the family's 1533-position model. The record is from RNAcentral.
AUACGUAGGUGGCAAGCGUUGUCCGGAAUUACUGGGUGUAAAGGGAGUGUAGGCGGGAUCGCAAGUCAGAAGUGAAAAUUAUGGGCUCAACUCAUAACCUGCUUUUGAAACUGCGAUUCUUGAGUGAAGUAGAGGCAAGCGGAAUUCCUAGUGUAGCGGUGAAAUGCGUAGAUAUUAGGAGGAACACCAGUAGCGAAGGCGGCUUUCUGGACUGUAACUGACACUGAGGCACGAAAGCGUGGGGAGC